UGGCUAUAAAAUAACAUAUUCUAUAGCCAUUUUGAGUUACGAUAAUAACUAUGUUAAUUUAUAAGAUUAUAGUAACUUCUUACUAAGUGGUUUGCUAUAACGUUACAAUAAAUAAUCUCAUAUGUUAUAGUAACUCAACUAUCGUAAAUAUGUAUACAUUUUAUCGUAAAUUAGUAAUAAAAUUAUUAUAAAUAAAAAUAGCUACAGAAUAACUUAUUAUAUAUAUA
This 227-nucleotide microRNA precursor is filed under the name Sorghum bicolor (sorghum). RNAcentral describes it as "MIR6217 microRNA precursor family". It matches the Rfam family "MIR6217 microRNA precursor family". The record is from Rfam by way of RNAcentral. Lineage: Eukaryota; Viridiplantae; Streptophyta; Magnoliopsida; Poales; Poaceae.